CCUUCGGGACUUACAUACUGGGGCUCAUGGCUGUCGUUCAGAUUGAAAUCGGUGAGAUGUUGGGUUAAGUCCCGCAACGAGCGCAACCCUUUUCCUUAUUUGCCAGCGGGUUAAGCCGGGAACUUUAAGGAUACUGCCAGUGACAAACUGGAGGAAGGCGGGGACGACGUCAAGUCAUCAUGGCCCUUACGACCAGGGCUACACACGUGCUACAAUGGUCGGUACAAAGGGUUGCUACCUCGCGAGAGGAUGCUAAUCUCAAAAAGCCGAUCGUAGUCCGGAUUGGAGUCUGCAACUCGACUCCAUGAAGUCGGAAUCGCUAGUAAUCGCGGAUCAGAAUGCCGCGGUGAAUACGUUAAAGGGCCUUG
This 368-nucleotide ribosomal RNA is filed under the name uncultured bacterium. Its description in RNAcentral is "bacterial SSU rRNA". It matches the Rfam family "Bacterial small subunit ribosomal RNA", at positions 1018 to 1383 of the family's 1533-position model. The record is from RNAcentral.